Molecule: unclassified non-coding RNA, 349 nt
Filed under: Hevea brasiliensis (rubber tree)
Lineage: Eukaryota; Viridiplantae; Streptophyta; Magnoliopsida; Malpighiales; Euphorbiaceae
Source: RNAcentral
GAAAAAUACAGCUCAAGCGAGCCAUAAAGAAGGAAGGAUUGUUAACGUUUCAUCAUUGGGACAUCGAUUUACAUAUCGUGAAGGGAUCCGUUUUGACAAAAUCAAUGACAAAGAUAGUUACACUGCAAUACUUGCUUAUGGACAGUCAAAGCUUGCUAAUAUCUUACACGCUAACGAACUUGCAAGGCAUUUCAAGGAAGAAGGAGCGGAGAUAACUGCUAAUUCACUUCACCCGGGAUCAAUUACUACCAAUCUUCUCCGUCACCAAAGUUUGGUUGAAGGCUUAGUUAACUGGAUUGGCAAAUACUUCAUUAAAAACAUUCCACAGGGAGCAGCAACUACAUGCUAU